UGAGGAUGAAGCAGCUUCAUGGCCGGAGAUCGGGCGCCUCCCAUCAGUUUCCCUUUUCAGCAAUAGAGGCCUUGGAGGCCUUUCUACCUGCGUUGCAUCCUGUGGCUGGACCACUCCAACGAUCUCGGCAGAAUCGUUACACAGGAAGAAGUCUGGCUGGCCCCAAGCCUGGUGCAAAAUGAAGAAAUGGCACUCCACAUCAAUUCAUGUUUACUUGUCGUCAUAACCAGUCUGUUAGCUUAAUUUUUGGUUCUUCCUAUUGAAUUCUCAAGAAAGGUACCAACUCUGUCAUUCAUUGAAAACAAAUUUUUGCACUUGGGGAUGCAGCCAUGCACAAAGCCUU
RNAcentral lists this long non-coding RNA (343 nucleotides) under Dermacentor andersoni. RNAcentral describes it as "uncharacterized LOC126537447". The record is from RNAcentral. Lineage: Eukaryota; Metazoa; Arthropoda; Arachnida; Ixodida; Ixodidae.